Molecule: ribosomal RNA, 602 nt
Filed under: Herbaspirillum huttiense subsp. huttiense
Lineage: Bacteria; Pseudomonadati; Pseudomonadota; Betaproteobacteria; Burkholderiales; Oxalobacteraceae
Description: bacterial SSU rRNA
Rfam family: Bacterial small subunit ribosomal RNA
Source: RNAcentral
UGCAGUCGACGGCAGCAUAGGAGCUUGCUCCUGAUGGCGAGUGGCGAACGGGUGAGUAAUAUAUCGGAACGUGCCCUAGAGUGGGGGAUAACUAGUCGAAAGACUAGCUAAUACCGCAUACGAUCUACGGAUGAAAGUGGGGGAUCGCAAGACCUCAUGCUCCUGGAGCGGCCGAUAUCUGAUUAGCUAGUUGGUGGGGUAAAAGCCUACCAAGGCAACGAUCAGUAGCUGGUCUGAGAGGACGACCAGCCACACUGGGACUGAGACACGGCCCAGACUCCUACGGGAGGCAGCAGUGGGGAAUUUUGGACAAUGGGGGCAACCCUGAUCCAGCAAUGCCGCGUGAGUGAAGAAGGCCUUCGGGUUGUAAAGCUCUUUUGUCAGGGAAGAAACGGUAGUAGCGAAUAACUAUUACUAAUGACGGUACCUGAAGAAUAAGCACCGGCUAACUACGUGCCAGCAGCCGCGGUAAUACGUAGGGUGCAAGCGUUAAUCGGAAUUACUGGGCGUAAAGCGUGCGCAGGCGGUUGUGUAAGUCAGAUGUGAAAUCCCCGGGCUCAACCUGGGAAUUGCAUUUGAGACUGCACGGCUAGAGUGUGUCA